AAUAAGAGCUCUACAUAGUCAGU
Molecule: non-coding RNA, 23 nt
Filed under: Cricetulus griseus (Chinese hamster)
Lineage: Eukaryota; Metazoa; Chordata; Mammalia; Rodentia; Cricetidae
Source: RNAcentral